Molecule: ribosomal RNA, 512 nt
Filed under: uncultured bacterium
Lineage: Bacteria
Description: bacterial SSU rRNA
Rfam family: Bacterial small subunit ribosomal RNA
Source: RNAcentral
GAUCCUGGCUCAGGAUGAACGCUAGCGGCAGGCUUAACACAUGCAAGUCGAGGGGCAGCGCGAGUAGCAAUACUUGGCGGCGACCGGCGCAAGGGUGCGUAACGCGUGAGCAACAUGCCCGUAUCAGGGGGAUAAUCCAGGGAAACUUGGUCUAAUACCCCAUAGUAAUUUUGUAAGGCAUCUUAUAAGAUUUAAAGCUUUGGUGGAUACGGAUUGGCUCGCGUGACAUUAGCUGGAUGGUAAGGUAACGGCUUACCAUGGCUAUGAUGUCUAGGGGUUCUGAGAGGAACGGUCCCCCACACUGGAACUGAGACACGGUCCAGACUCCUACGGGAGGCAGCAGUGAGGAAUAUUGGACAAUGGAUGGAAAUCUGAUCCAGCCAUGCCGCGUGAAAAGGAAGAAGGUCCUAUGGAUUGUAAACUUUCUUUUGUAUGGGAGCAAUAAGGCCUACGAGUAGGUUGAUGAGAGUACCAUACGAAUAAGCACCGGCUAACUCCGUGCCAGCCGCGGC